CCUACGGGGGGCAGCAGUAGGGAAUGUUGCUCAAUGGGGGAAACCCUGAAGCAGCAACGCCGCGUGGAGGAUGAAGGUUUUCGGAUUGUAAACUCCUUUUGUUAGAGAAGAUAAUGACGGUAUCUAACGAAUAAGCAACGGCUAACUCCGUGCCAGCAGCCGCGGUAAAACGGAGGGUGCAAGCGUUACUCGGAAUCACUGGGCGUAAAGGGCGCGUAGGCGGGAUAGCAAGUCAGAUGUGAAAUCCUAUGGCUUAACCAUAGAACUGCAGUUGAAACUGUGAUUCUAGAGUAUGGGAGAGGAAGGUGGAAUGCGUGGUGUAGGGGUAAAAUCCGUAGAGAUCAAGAGGAAUACUCAUUGCGAAGGCGACCUUCUGGAACAUAACUGAUGCUGAUGCGCGAAAGCGUGGGGAGCAAACAGGAUUAGAUACCCGGGUAGUC
This 440-nucleotide ribosomal RNA is filed under the name uncultured bacterium. RNAcentral describes it as "partial 16S ribosomal RNA". It matches the Rfam family "Bacterial small subunit ribosomal RNA", at positions 338 to 795 of the family's 1533-position model. The record is from RNAcentral.